GGCGGAUUCAGGGCGUCUUCUGGCUUUCCUGGAAGUAUGGGAAUGGCUUGAUUGUUCUAACCGGAUGCAUGCUGGGACUGGCAGCCCUGUACAUGGACCAUUCCAAUGCAGGGUUACAUAGUGGAGUUGGUGGAGACCUGCAAUGCUCCCUGGAAAGGAGGCAUGGAAUAAAACACAACAUAUUUAACCUAUCACCUAGUGUAUAGCAGUGUAUAGACCCAUUGGUGCAUGGUAACUGACCAAUCAGAGACACAGAAUUCUACUACAGGUAUAAUGACACAUGAUUACAGAGAUAAGCAGUUAUCUUGAGUGGUUGACUAGACUUUUACUGAUUUCACUGCAUGUGUAAUGGUGUAAUCAUAGCACAGUCACAGAGUUGUGUAAUUUGUGAAUUAUGGAUAGCUAUAUAGACUUUCAGUGAUUUAUCUGCAUGAAAUGUGAAAAUACAAUCACAGUUAUGUAGUCAUCUAAUACAGAUAGCUAGCUAUAGACUAUCAUUUAUUUCUCUGCAUGUUAUAUUAUUAUGAUACAAUCACAGAUUUAUGUAGUCACCUAAUGUGAA
Lingula anatina is the source of this 562-nucleotide long non-coding RNA. The record is from RefSeq and is a predicted model, not a curated record. NCBI's taxonomy places the organism in Eukaryota, Metazoa, Brachiopoda, Lingulata, Lingulida, Lingulidae.